Molecule: ribosomal RNA, 497 nt
Filed under: uncultured bacterium
Lineage: Bacteria
Description: partial 16S ribosomal RNA
Rfam family: Bacterial small subunit ribosomal RNA
Source: RNAcentral
GACGAACGCUGGCGGCGUGCUUAACACAUGCAAGCAGAACGCUGAAGAGAGGAGCUUGUUCUUCUCGGAUGAGUCGAGAACGGGAGAGUAACGCGUAGGUAACCUGCCUUGUAGUGGGGGAACAUCAUUGGAAACGAUAGCUAAUACGGCAUAACAAUGGAUGACAUAUGUCAUUUAUUUGAAAGGGGCAAUUGCUCCACUACAAGAUGGACCUUCGUUGUAUUAGCUAGUAGGUGAGGUAAAUGCUCAUCUAGGCGACGUUACAGAGCCGCCCUGAGAGGGUGGGCGGCCGGCCUGGGACGGUGACACGGCCCAGACUCCUUCGGGAGGCAGCAGGAGUGAAUCUUCGGCAAUGGGGGCAACCCUGACCGAGCAACGCCGCGUGAGUGAAGAAGGAUUUCGGAUCGUAAAGCUCUGUUGUAAGUCAAGAACGCGUGUGAGAGUGUGAAGUUCAGUCUGUGACGGUAGCUUACCAGGAAGGAACGGCUAACUACGUG